UACAGAGGUCUCAAGCGUUGUUCGGAUUCAUUGGGCGUAAAGGGCACGUAGGCGGCUUGGCAAAUCGGUCGUGGAAUCCCGACGCUUACCGUCGGAACGGCGGCCGAAAAUACCGAGCUCGAGGGCGUGAGGGGUCACUGGAACUCCUGGUGAAGCGGUGAAAUGCGUUGAUAUCGAUAGGAACUCCGGUGGCGAAGGCGGCAUACUGGACCACCACUGACGCUGAUGCGCGAAAGCCAGGGGAGCAAACGGG
Molecule: ribosomal RNA, 253 nt
Filed under: uncultured bacterium
Lineage: Bacteria
Description: partial 16S ribosomal RNA
Rfam family: Bacterial small subunit ribosomal RNA
Source: RNAcentral